This 400-nucleotide ribosomal RNA is filed under the name uncultured bacterium. RNAcentral describes it as "bacterial SSU rRNA". It matches the Rfam family "Bacterial small subunit ribosomal RNA", at positions 355 to 746 of the family's 1533-position model. The record is from RNAcentral.
UGGGGAAUUUUGGACAAUGGGGGCAACCCUGAUCCAGCCAUGCCGCGUGCGGGAAGAAGGCCUUCGGGUUGUAAACCGCUUUAGUCCGGGAAAAAUGUUUCUAUGGUUAAUACCCAUGGGAGUUGAUGGUACUGGAAGAAUAAGGACCGGCUAACUACGUGCCAGCAGCCGCGGUAAUACGUAGGGUCCAAGCGUUAAUCGGAAUUACUGGGCGUAAAGCGUGCGCAGGUGGUUUUGUAAGACAGAGGUGAAAUCCCCGGGCUUAACCUGGGAAUGGCCUUUGUGACUGCAAGGCUAGAGUGUGGCAGAGGGGGGUGGAAUUCCACGUGUAGCAGUGAAAUGCGUAGAGAUGUGGAGGAACACCGAUGGCGAAGGCAGCCCCCUGGGCUAACACUGACGC